ACACAUCAAGGUGCAAAACCUGCAGAAACUAAUCGUCCAACUCUUCGACGUAUUGAACGUGUGGAAAGUUCUGACUACAUAAACGCAUGUUUUGUUGAUGGUUAUCUAGGAAAGAAUUACUUUAUUGCAACACAAUUGCCUUUAAACGAAACAAUAAACGACUUUUGGAGGAUGGUAACUCAGCAUGAAUGCACGACCAUCGUUUUGC
Xenia sp. Carnegie-2017 is the source of this 208-nucleotide long non-coding RNA. RefSeq lists it as uncharacterized. The transcript is spliced from 3 exons. NCBI's taxonomy places the organism in Eukaryota, Metazoa, Cnidaria, Anthozoa, Malacalcyonacea, Xeniidae. The record is from RefSeq and is a predicted model, not a curated record.